GUUUGAUUAUGGCUCACGACGAACGCUGGCGGCGUGCCUAACACAUGCCUUUCGAGCGGGAUCCAUCCCGUAGCAAUACUGGUGAAGAUCUAGCGGCGAACGGGUGAGUAACACGUGAGAAACCUGCCCCGAACUCUGGGAUAACACGAGGAAACCCGUGCUAAUUCCGGAUACCUUCUUUUGGCCGCAUGGUCAGAUGAAGAAAGAUUUAUCGGUUUGGGAGGGUCUCGCGGCCUAUCAGCUAGUUGGCGGGGUAAUGGCCCACCAAGGCAUCGACGGGUAGCUGGUCUGAGAGGACGAUCAGCCACACUGGGACUGAGACACGGCCCAGACUCCUACGGGAGGCAGCAGUGGGGAAUCUUGCGCAAUGGGCGAAAGCCUGACGCAGCAACGCCCCGUGCGGGAUGAAGGCCUUCGGGUUGUAAACCGCUUUCAGCAGGGAAGAAAAUGACGGUACCUGCAGAAGAAGCCCCGGCCAACUACCUGCCAGCACCCGCGGUAACACGUAGGGGGCGAGCGUUGUCCGGAUUUAU
Molecule: ribosomal RNA, 533 nt
Filed under: uncultured bacterium
Lineage: Bacteria
Description: bacterial SSU rRNA
Rfam family: Bacterial small subunit ribosomal RNA
Source: RNAcentral